This 337-nucleotide unclassified non-coding RNA is filed under the name soil metagenome. Its description in RNAcentral is "partial contains 5.8S ribosomal RNA, internal transcribed spacer 2, and large subunit ribosomal RNA". The stretch from base 1 to 120 matches the Rfam family "5.8S ribosomal RNA", at positions 35 to 154 of the family's 154-position model. The record is from RNAcentral.
GAUGAAGAACGUAGCGAAAUGCGAUAAGUAAUGUGAAUUGCAGAAUUCAGUGAAUCAUCGAAUCUUUGAACGCACAUUGCGCCCCUUGGUAUUCCGAGGGGCAUGCCUGUUCGAGCGUCAUUACACCACUCAAGCUAUGCUUGGUAUUGGGUGUCGUCCUUAGUUGGGCGCGCCUUAAAGACCUCGGCGAGGCCUCCCCGGCUUUAGGCGUAGUAGAAUUUAUUCGAACGUCUGUCAAAGGAGAGGAACUCUGCCGACUGAAACCUUUGUUUUUACAGGUUGACCUCGGAUCAGGUAGGGAUACCCGCUGAACUUAAGCAUAUCAAUAAGCGGAGGA